AGCACAUUCCUCCUCAUUUGCCUGCUUCUCAAAUGGGCUGCUCGCCCAGUAUUCCUUGGUGGGUGCUCAAGCUGGGAACCAGAGUGUCUUCCUAAAUGUCUCCCCUUCCCCACCCCAGGGUCCCUAAGCCUGUGACAGCCUCCUCACUCAGAUCUCCUGCUUCCCUUGGGCCUCCCCCCUGGACCCCUGCCGAGCCCCCACUAGUCUCAGCCUGCAGCCCCUUCCCACCCGGUCAGGCUCCAACCUCAGGUCCUCGGGUGGAUCUUCAGAGACGGCGAACUCCUGAGCAAAGCCUCCUUCCAGGAUUCAGGGGCAAGGGAGCUGUAGCUUGGAUGGGGCUUCAGAGGUGGCCAGGCAGAUGGCCCAGUGGCCGUGUAGCCCCAGCGGAGGUGUAGUGGGCCUCACUGACCCCCACUGGCAGCAGCCUCUUGGGCAGGGGACCAGGUGUGCCCCCCAGAACUAUGAUGGCAGGGGCCAGGGGGACCCUCAUGGCCAUCUGCACCCGAUACUGGAGGCUUGGCCAGGUUGGUGGCCCUGGGGAUGGCAGCGGCCGCUUCCUUGGAGCACCUGACACCCACUGAGUAGCCCCCGGAGCCACAUAGGCCUUCGAACCUGGUCCCUGGGUCUACUGCUGCGGGGACAUCCUCUUGAGAACCUCGGCCUCAAGGGACGCCCAUGACGACACUUCUUGGCGGGUGCAGUGGGUUGGAGAGUGCCCGUCCAAAAUUCAUGCCAACCCAGCACCUCAGAACGUGACCUUAUUUGGAGGUAGGUCUUUGUAGGCGUGAGGAGGUAAGGAUCUCAAGGUGAAAUCAUCUCGGGUUUAGGCUGGACCCUAGGCCUAAUGACUGGUGUCCUUAUCAGAAGAGAGGACACAGACACAGAGAGAAGGCCACGUGGAAACGGAGGCAGAGACGGGGGUGAGGCAGCCCCUGGCUACGCAGCGCUAAGCAAGCCGGAGGCCCCCAGAAGCUGGAAGAGAGGCAAGAACAGCCUCUCCCCCGGAGUCCUCCCUCAGCAGGAGCCUCCCCUGACAACACCUU
Molecule: long non-coding RNA, 1043 nt
Filed under: Zalophus californianus (California sea lion)
Lineage: Eukaryota; Metazoa; Chordata; Mammalia; Carnivora; Otariidae
Description: lncRNA (ENSZCAG00015007404.1)
Source: RNAcentral